Molecule: ribosomal RNA, 864 nt
Filed under: Lysinibacillus sphaericus
Lineage: Bacteria; Bacillati; Bacillota; Bacilli; Caryophanales; Bacillaceae
Description: bacterial SSU rRNA
Rfam family: Bacterial small subunit ribosomal RNA
Source: RNAcentral
GGGGGGUGAGUAACACUGUGGGCAACCUACCUUAUAGUUUGGGAUAACUCCGGGAAACCGGGGCUAAUACCGAAUAAUCUGUUUCACCUCAUGGUGAAAUAUUGAAAGACGGUUUCGGCUGUCGCUAUAGGAUGGGCCCGCGGCGCAUUAGCUAGUUGGUGAGGUAACGGCUCACCAAGGCGACGAUGCGUAGCCGACCUGAGAGGGUGAUCGGCCACACUGGGACUGAGACACGGCCCAGACUCCUACGGGAGGCAGCAGUAGGGAAUCUUCCACAAUGGGCGAAAGCCUGAUGGAGCAACGCCGCGUGAGUGAAGAAGGAUUUCGGUUCGUAAAACUCUGUUGUAAGGGAAGAACAAGUACAGUACUAACUGGCUGUACCUUGACGGUACCUUAUUAGAAAGCCACGGCUAACUACGUGCCAGCAGCCGCGGUAAUACGUAUGUGGCAAGCGUUGUCCGGAAUUAUUGGGCGUAAAGCGCGGCGCAGGUGGUUUCUUAAGUCUGAUGUGAAAGCCCACGGCUCAACCCGCGCAGGGGCAUUGGAAACUGGGAGACUUGAGUGCAUAAGAGGGAUAGUGGAACUUCCAAGUGUAGCGCUAAAUGCGUAGAGGUUUGGAAGGAACACCCAGUUGCGAAUUCGACUAUCUCCCCUGUUACUGACACUGAGGCACGAAAGCGGCGCGAGCAGACAGGUUAGAUACCCUUGUACUCCACACCUAAACGAUUACCGCUACACGUUAAGGGGGUUUCCUGCCCUUAUUGCUGCACUGACGCAGUAUGCAACUACGCCUUCAGAGUACUGCCGCAAGGACUGUAAACAUCAAACGAAUUAAACGACCGGCCCGCACAACGCUUUGCACGA